ACUUGAUCCAAUUUGACUUUGCCAUGUAACUGUAAAAACGUAGCCUUUUUUAGUUUGCUGUCAUUUAUCUUGAAACUACUUUGCCUAUAGGUGUAUGAUGGGUUAUUAUAAAUUUUUACUUAUUUCCAAUGAGUAUAGUAGUUUUUUCGCAAAAAAAAAAUGAGUAUAGUAGUUGUCCUGUUUGGUGUGUACAUCAAGAGACUCCUCCUGCGGAAGCCGGUCAGAACUUAGGAGCUAUCCAUCUUAUGGUGUAACUACUGCUAGGAAACCUUAAGAUUGCCAUCAAUGUCACAGAAUCACCCUGAUAAAAAAUGUGUCAGAUCACAAAUCAACAGCGAGCUUAUUUAUUUUUAUCUCUGUCAGAGUAACCAUCAUAAAUUUAUAGACACGCAUGCUUCCCCUACGUUGCAUGUUUGUUGAAUGAAAAAGCAUUCAGCUUGUUUGCAUUUUUUCAGACAAGUGAUUGAAAGGAAGUAAAUCAUGUCAUCGUGUUAUCCAUUUUCUGUUUCAGCCAUGUGGCUGUACUCCUUCGAUUAACGUAAGCUAUAAGAAGACUCUCGAGGGUGCUUUAGCAUGUGCUUAUGCGACUCUUUCGCUGGCCAAGACCACUGUUGAGCAUUGAAAAGAUGGUUUGUAUGGAUGCAUCAGAGGACAUGUGGACUCCAAAAUCUAUGAUAUCAAUGCUGUGAAGACAUUGGAAUAUUUGCGACUUCUCCUACUAAUGAUAUGCUGAUGUACCAAAUUCCCGGAGCUGUUUAGGUGACAUUAUUAUAGGACCCUGCUGUUAUAAAAUAACUCUGAAUUGGGCUUUGCUGUCUAAUAAAGCAUUGUCGUACCCAUCUUUAAGAGUUCGUAUCCAUAUUACACAUUCAUUAAUCAUCUUUGAUACUGUUAGAUUUGACUAUCAGACGAUAUGUGCUGUGAUUUUCUGGCCAUGCUGGCAGUCCUCACGUCCGGGAUUCAGACAAUGCUGAUCGUUUCUUACGUUCACGUCAAUUUGUAUUAUACAAUCUUUUUUACGACAUAUUAAUGUUUCGUACGAGCAUGGUUGCAACUUAUUUUGAAACAUUAAAGUUUCUCAGAUUAGAAUAAGCAGAUAUUUUUUAAUUGCUGAACAUGGGUUGGUGAUUUACUUUCUUAGGGUAUUUUUUCGAAUCUUACAUUCCCAAUUAGGAUUCCUACGUUUCAUAACUGGGAGGUUGGCAGGCUCGUGCUCCUGUGCUCUUGAGGGCAACUUCUUAUGUUGCCUCGGUUUCCUUACCUUUCCAUCUAUGUUUCUUACCGCAUGGUUUAAAGAAAAAAGCCUCACGAAUGGGGGGUAGGCUCACGAUGUAAAUAACUCGCAUACAGAAGGUAAUAUUACGGUGUUCCGUUUUGCUUUACGGAACAGAGAGGUUCCCUUUUGACGCUGUAAUUUUACUUCACAUGCUUUUCUUUCCUACCUUCUGAAUUGUGGCCGUGGAAGAUGGGUGGGGUGAGGAAUAAGAAUUUCUGCCAGACGCACUAGCACCUCCAUCGCUCACCUUUUUUUUACAGGAUCCAGCGCCCAUUGAAGCGGUAGCGGCCGGAGGUCUCGGCGGCGAGCGGCCGCAGCGCGGAGGAGCGUGGUGUCCUUCGGCGGCGAUUCCACCGAUCCCCUUCGCCUCCGGUGGCUGAUUAGGUGUCGGCUUCCUGAUGGGAACACGGAUCUGUCCACAGAGUUUUUGCAGAGGCUGUAGAUAGAAGAGAUCAUGAGGCUGAACAUCCUGUCCAAUCAGGUUAUGUUUGGCCAUUGGCAUGCAUAUUGAUGCGCCAUGCAUCUCCUUUCAUCAUGAUGGUCAGCGACCGGGUCUUCGCCGCCGGAGCUGUUCAGUAUCACCUACUCUCGGGUGAAGCUCGGCGAGAGAGGCCCUACAGUUUACAAAUAUUCGUGGAGCUCUCACAGUGGCAGACAGAGAGAGGAGCUACUCCAGCAUUGCACGGCUGACAGCAAGUGACUAAUGCCCUAAUCUUGUUGUGUAAAUUAAUGCAACUAGCGUUAACUUGUAGAGCAUCAUGUUGUUAGAAUAGUUCUAAGGUCACCGUGUGAUUUCGUUUACAUUUUUGCUUGCUUGCCGGUGUACCAAACAAGAUGCAAGAUGGCAUAUAAUGUAUUUUUACAUUGAAUCAUGGAUGGUGCAUUGGUGACAUUUUCUUUAGAGUAUGAUGAUCAUCUUUGUUUUA
Long non-coding RNA from Triticum aestivum (bread wheat), 2202 nucleotides. RefSeq lists it as uncharacterized. NCBI's taxonomy places the organism in Eukaryota, Viridiplantae, Streptophyta, Magnoliopsida, Poales, Poaceae. The record is from RefSeq and is a predicted model, not a curated record. The transcript is spliced from 6 exons.